RNAcentral lists this long non-coding RNA (463 nucleotides) under Prunus dulcis (almond). Its description in RNAcentral is "sRNA ncRNA". Lineage: Eukaryota; Viridiplantae; Streptophyta; Magnoliopsida; Rosales; Rosaceae. The record is from RNAcentral.
CACUAUCCUUUGACUAUGCACAUUCCAUUGGCAACAAACCAAAAUUAAAAUUGAAUCCAUAUUCAUGGACAAAGGUAGGUGUUUGUGUUUAUGUCUUUGUACGUAUGUGAUCUUUAGCAACUAUUCAGGUUCUUAUAACAUUGAGAAGAACAAUAUCCCAAACUUUCAGGUUGCCAACAUAAUAUUUUUAGACGCACCGGUGGGCACAGGAUUCUCAUAUGCAAAAAAUUGGGAAGGAUAUAGCAAUCUCAAUGACACCUUGUCAGCUGCACAGACAUGAAUUUCUUAGAAAGGUGAGAGGUUUAAUUCUAGUGAUUAAGAAUUCCUUCGAAAAUCGACAUGAUUGGCAAUAUAACACACUUUUCUUCCAUAUCUAGCUAGCUACGUUGUUGUUUUCACUGUUGUGGUGCAGUGGCUUAUGGAUCAUCCCAAGUUCUACAAUAAUCCACUUUAUAUUGCUGGA